AGACAUCCUAGAAUGCUGCUGUUAUAGAAGGGCCCCCUCUACCCUGGCUGCGUGGCGCUAGGUGUUUAAGUGUGAAGUCAAGGUCACAGCAGGAAACAGGAUGCAACUCCCAUAGUCCAAAGGAAGAGGCCUUCAUUAAAGGACCGUCAGAGCUCAAGACUCCACCCUGCUCUUCUGAGAAGCUGGACUCCCACCCACCACCUGGGAAAGAACACGGAGUGGGGAGGGUGGAAAGCCUUUCCAGAGAUAGAACUUGAACUGGCCUGAAAGACAGCCAACCGCCCAGAAAGCCCAGGGCAAGAAGGCCACUGAUGUAGCCCACCCAGGCCAGCCUACUGAGACAGAGCAGAUGGAGAAGGAGAAGGGCAGAGAGUUGAUAUGAAUCAGGAUAUACUAUACGGGAUAUAGAUUUUCAAAAGGGCAUUUGGAGUCCAGCGUCUCCAUGUGGACUUCACCCAGUAACAAAAUAUCUUAUCAAUUUGAAGAUGAACGUUUUUCACGUUUUAACACCUCUGAAGUUGACAGAAUCUUACGGUUGCUGUUCUCCAGGUGGCAGCCAGGACGUAGCUGCUGUUGCCUGCCCUUGCACAAACCUAGAUGUUAGUCCUCAUUCAGGUUGUCUUUAAAUGAUUCGUUGACUGUGUAUGGAGGAGAGUUACAGUUGUCCGAUGUGCCUUUGGUGGACCUUUUGUGGACAUCCUUCAGUAAGAACAAUAAAGUGCCAGCAUCAAAACUUAUAGAAUGAGCAUCAGCACCUUGGAAGCAAAUCCCAGAGACAAUAUUGCAGCAGUCUUAAGAAUAUUACCAAAGCUCCUGAUAGCCCAGCUGACAAAGCAUGAAAAAUACUCUGAUCUCAACUCUCCGUUGAAAGUGAUUCAGAGGACCUGGGAAUGUUUCUAUAGGAAACAUUUUAAUGAUACCUCAACGAAUUUUUAAAAAUUUAAGUCAGAUUUAUUGAGGUAUAAUUUACAUACAGUAAAACUAACCCUUUUUAGAUAUACAGUUCUGUGAAUUGGUAAAAAUAUAUAUAAUGUUGUGUAUCCA
Molecule: long non-coding RNA, 1044 nt
Filed under: Equus caballus (horse)
Lineage: Eukaryota; Metazoa; Chordata; Mammalia; Perissodactyla; Equidae
Description: lncRNA (ENSECAG00000047515.1)
Source: RNAcentral